CGACCUUCUUUAUUGUUCUUUUUGUGUGUUUUCUUGAAGCAAACCCACUAGCAAUCGUUGGAUCUUUGUCAAUUGUGGAACCAAGAAUCUAAGAAUUGCUAAAGAUUUUGUCAGCAUAAUAAGCUAGCACCUUUAUAUUUGGAUGUCAUUAGAAGUAAUAUUUAAUUACAUUGCUAAAACAAUAGCUCGCAAAAAUAAAAAUCUUGC
RNAcentral lists this long non-coding RNA (207 nucleotides) under Elaeis guineensis (African oil palm). RNAcentral's name for it is "long non-coding RNA (EGUI_LNC022745)". The record is from RNAcentral. Lineage: Eukaryota; Viridiplantae; Streptophyta; Magnoliopsida; Arecales; Arecaceae.